UGUCAGCUUAUUUAUACUUUUUCAAAACCUAUCCAUUGCCUCACACGUGUUCUGCCACGUGGAGCCAAGUUAGAAACGUGUCACUCUGUAGUUAGAGAAAAACUCAUCGUUCCCGUUCAAGGGAUGUUAGCUAUUUUAAAGGCAUUUGACGGGUUCUGCCGUCAUUCCUGCGAAGCCAUAAAUUAAUAGAAAAUUAGGGUCAUAUUAUCCGCAACCGCAAACUAAUCAUUUGAAUAAUAAUUCAGAAUGAUAAGGUGAUCAACUAGAUACGUCUAUAACCUCAAAAAUUCCGCAUUUGAUGCGACCUAUGAUUUGCCAAAUAAACCUAAAUCGUUCUCUUGGACUACACAAAUACAUACCUGACAGCUAACUUUUUUUUUAUUAUUUUUAUUUUUUGAUAUGGGAGAGGGUGGUUUCGAACUCCAUCAUCCAUUUUGGAGGUCGGGGGUUAUGCCAAAGCCACGAUGUGAUUUAUUUGAGUCUGUCACUUUGGUCCCAACAACAGCAUGUCCAAAUUUACCCCCCUAGUGCUUGUCAUUUCUAGACGACACUGCUCAAUUAUUAAUACAAUUACAUAAUCACAGUGCAUUAUGCCACAUUAUGCCCUUUGUUGGCUCAUUGUCCCAUGGCUCUGAGCAUCGAGAGAUAUUUCACCUACAGCUUGUAAAUUUAGGAAUCAUGCAUUCGGCUUUCAUGGAAAGUUAUCUAUUGGUCAGUAAUGCAGAUGUGCCAGAUCAUACAAAACUGAUAUCUUGGUCAGUUAAAGAAAAGUUGGUCAUUUAUUUUUUCCCAAUUUUUAUCCAAGAGGCCCACUUCUUUCCACUUCUUUGGUCAUUAUCAUCGUGUUAUGGCACGUACAUGAGGAAAGGAAAGAAGGAGAAGCUCAAGCUGCUGAAGGGGGCUGGACACUUGUCAUAUAUAUAUCAUAAAGGAAGGAAAAAGACAACGGAUGCUGAAAGUGGCACUACUGUAGCCUUUAUAGCCCUGGCUGCUGUGGAGGAUAAGAUGGCCAAGAAGAAACAUGAAGAAGUUGGCUUAAAUUUCUACUGCUUCCAAAGAAGAGAAGCCCAGAGGAAUGGGAUGAUGAAAUCCUAUAUGGAAAGUUUACUUUCUUUUUUUUUUUCUUGAAAACUACUUUUUCCAUAUAUACUAAAGCAUAUCAUCAAAAAUCUCAAUAAACAACUUAAGAGCGCUGGCAUCAGAUUCUCUAUAUGUUGACACCCAUAAGUUUCUGAUGUUGAAGGAGCAUUUUUCUCUAUCAUCUACAGUUAAUUUCUUUCACCCAAAGAUCAUGAUGUUGCAGAGCAAGUUUGAGCAGGAUAAAAAGCGGAUACAACAAUUGAGAGCUUGUAGGAAGUUUCGACCUCGCUAAAUAUUACACAAUGGAAAGAAUGGCUAGCAGUUGAAUCACCAGAAUCUUACUGAAUGUCUAUUUUGUAGUCCCUUAUUUCUGGUAGUGAAUUUACUGGAGAAAUCGACGAGUGUAACGAGUUAUUGAUGAGCAUACAGUUACAGAUAUUCUUUUACACGCCAGAAUGUAAUCCCGAUCGGAUUUUGCAGUUUUGAGUUUUAGGGGGGUUCUUUGACAGCAAGGUCGGUUACUAAUGCGAAAUUUGGUCUGGAUUUUACUGGAGUUAACCUGGUUGUGUGGCAGUUAUAGUUUCCUCGAACUAGUUUAUAUUACCAUUUAUUUUUCAAAGAAAAGAGAAUACCCUCACUAGAAAUUUACAUUCCUGACUAGAAUGGUGGGUUAUUAAUCCUGUUCUUCUGGAGACAUUGAUUGGUCCUCGCCUCUCGUUUCAUGCUGUGCAAUAUUGCUGUUACAAAAGUCAAACACGUUCUAUAAAAGAAAAAAAAUUUGCCA
Long non-coding RNA from Carya illinoinensis, 1864 nucleotides. RefSeq lists it as uncharacterized. Lineage: Eukaryota; Viridiplantae; Streptophyta; Magnoliopsida; Fagales; Juglandaceae. The record is from RefSeq and is a predicted model, not a curated record. The transcript is spliced from 2 exons.